This 497-nucleotide ribosomal RNA is filed under the name uncultured bacterium. Its description in RNAcentral is "partial 16S ribosomal RNA". It matches the Rfam family "Bacterial small subunit ribosomal RNA", at positions 28 to 507 of the family's 1533-position model. The record is from RNAcentral.
GAUGAACGCUGGCGGCGUGCUUAACACAUGCAAGUCGAACGGACGUACUAGCAUCUUUCUUCGGUGGUGGUGGCAGCGGACGAGUGAGUAAUAAGAGGAUAGCCACCCUAUACUCAUUGCUGAACAACGGCAAGCCAGAGUUGAUACUGCAGGAUGUUUUGAACUGCUCGGUUCAGUGGGGAUAGAAGGUCUUGAUGUCACUUGGAGGUGUUGCCGCGCGGCAUUAGCUAGUUCGUAAGGUAACGGCUUACGAUGGCGACGAUGUAUGGCCGACCCGAGAGGGUGAUCGGCCACACUGGAACUGAGACACGGUCCAGAGUCCUACGGGAGGCAGAGGUAGGGAGUAUUGCGCAAUGGGCGAAAGCCUGACGGAGCGACGCCGCGUGUGUGAUGAAGGUCUUCGGGUCGUAAAACUCUCUUAUUAGGGAAGAACAGAUCUGUCAGUAUCUGGGCACAUCUUGACGGUACCGGAUCAGAAAGCGACGGCUAACUACGUG